This 4096-nucleotide long non-coding RNA is filed under the name Homo sapiens (human). Its description in RNAcentral is "HSALNT0107985". The record is from RNAcentral. Lineage: Eukaryota; Metazoa; Chordata; Mammalia; Primates; Hominidae.
GAUCUUUUGACCUUGUGAUCCACCCAUCUCGGCCUCCCAAAGUGCUGGGAUUACAGGCGUGAGCCACCGCUCCUGGUCAUUUUUGUAUUUUUAGUAGAAAGGAGAUUUCAUCAUGUUGGCCUGACUGGUCUGGAAUACCCAGCAUCAAUUGAUCGGUCAGCCUCGGCCUCACAAAGUGCAGGGAUUACAGGCGUGAGUCACCUGCUCGGCCAUGACCUGUAGCUUUCUUUUUUUGUUUUGCCCUUGUCUGGUUUUGGUAUUAGGGCAUUGUUGGAUUCAGAGAAUGAUUUAGGAAGUAUUGCUUCCUCAUAAAUUUGUUUGAACAGUUUGAGUAGAAUUGGUAUUAGUUCUUCUUUAAUUGUUCAGUAAAAUUCAGCAAUGAAGUCACCGGGUUCUGGGAUUUAUUUUUUUAUUUUUAUUUUAUUUUUGGGGAGACAUUUUACUACUUUUUCUAUCUGAUAUGGUUUGGCUGUGUCCGCACCCAAAUGUCAACGUGAAUUUUAUCUCCCAGAAUUCCCACAUCUCGUGGGAGGGACCCAAGGGGAGGUUAUGGAAUCAUGGUGGCUUGUCUUAAUAAGUCUCACAAGAUCUGAUGGGUUUAUCAAGGGUUUCUGCAUUUGCUUCUUUCUCAUUUUCUCUUGCUGUCUCCAUGUAAGAAGUGCCUUUUUGCUCCCGCCAUGAUUCUGAGGCUUCCCCAGGCAUGUGGAACUGUAAGUCCGUCCAAUUAAGCCUCUUUUUCUUUCCAGUCUCAAGAAUGUCUUUAUCAGCAGCAUGAAAAUGAACUAAUACACUCUCUGAUUAAUUUUUAUUGGUUUGUUCCGGUUUUCUAUUUCUUCAAGAUUUAAUCUUGAUGAUGAAGCAGUUUUCUUCGAAGGCAGCAUAUAGUUUGGUCUUGUUUCUUUAUUCAUUCAGCCACUCUAUAACUUUUUCUUGGUGAAUUCAAUACAUUUACAUUCAAAGUUCUUAUUGAUAGGUAAGGAUUUACCAAUGCCAUUAUUUACUUGUUGUCUGGUUGUAUUGAAUCACCUUUCUUUCUUUCUUCCUCUAUUACUGCCUUUUUUUUUUUUUUUUUUUGGUUAAGAGAUUUUCUCUGAAACUAUGUUUUAAUUCAGUGCUUUUUUUUGGUAUAUUUAUGAUAUGUUUUUGCUUUGUGGUUAUUGCGAGACUUAGAAAAACAUGUUAAUGGUAUAACAAGUUAUUUAAACAAAUGACAACUUUUCUUUGACUAUAAAGAAAAACUAGAAAUAAACAACGACAAAAAAAAAAUUUAAUUUUGCAUUUCAGCUCCACCCCCAACCCCUGCUCCUUUUGGCCUAUUUUUUGGCAUCAAUUCAUGUAAUCUUAUAUUGCCUAUCUCUUAACAGAUUGAUGUCGAUAUUAUUGAUUUUGAUAGAUUUGCCUUUUAGUCUUCGUAAUAAAAUUAUGAGUGGGUUACACACAUAAUUAUAGUGUUAGAAUAUUUUGAGGUUUUUUUCAGUAUUUACUUUUACCACUAGGUUUUAGACCUUCAAAUGGUUUAUAUUUGCAUAUUAGGUUUUUUUUUAAUUUUUUUUUUUUUUUUUUGCUUUUUUUCAGAUUGAAUAACUCUGCAGCAUUUUUUAAAAGAUGGGUCUGGUGGUAAAGAAUUCCUUCAGCUUUCGUUUGGAAAAGACUUUAUCUCUCCUUCAUGUUUGAAAGAUAGUUUUUCAAGACACUAAAUUCAUGUUUGGCAGUCUUGUUUUUUAGCAUGUUGAACAUGCUAUCCUAUUCCAUCCUUAUGGUGGAAUGUUACUUAUUAAGAAGCUUUUUUUCCAGACAAAUUGGAGCCCCUUUAUAUACGUGCUUCUUGUCUGUUGCUGCUUUUAGAAUCCUCUCUUUUCUCUUGACAUUUGAGAGUUUGAUUAUUACAUUGCUUCAUGUAGUUUUAUUUGUGUUUAAUCCGGCAAUCUCUUACCUUUCUAUGUCUGGAUAUUUACAUCUUUUUCAAAUUUUGUAACAUUUUCUGUUAUUACUCUUUGAAUACAAUUUUUAUUCCUUGCUCUUCCUCAGCUACAUUUUGAAUACUAAUAAUUCUUUUUUUUUUCUUUUCUUUUUUUUUUUUUUUUGAGAUGGAGUCUUGCUCUGUCACCCAGGCUGGAGUGCAGUGGCGCGAUCUUGGCUCACUGCAACUUCCACCUCCCAAGUUCAAGCCAUUUUCCUGCUUCGGCCUCCCAAGUAGCUGGGAUUACAGGUGUGUGCCACCACACACAGCUUAUUUUUGUAUUUUUAGUAGAGACAGGAUUUUGUUAUGUUGGUCAGGUUCAUCUCGAACUCCUGACCUUGUGAUCCGCCUGCCUCGGCCUCCCAAAGUGCUGGCAUUACAGGCGUGAGCCACCGUGACCAGCCAAAUCCUAAUAAUUCUUAAAUUUUUUCUUUUGGGGUAAUUAUCUAUAUCCUGCAUGUGUUCUUUAUUCUUUUUCAUUUGCUUUUCUUCUCUGUGUAUUUUAUAGUAGCCUGUCCUCAAGCUCAGUAAGACUUUCCUCUGAUUCAUCCAUUUUGCUGUUGAAAGCCUGUAAUAAAAUUUUCAGUAUAGCAAAUAUACUUUUUACUUCCAAGAUUUCUGUUUUAUAUUUUAAAUUAUUUCAAUCUUCGUUACAUUUCUCUGAUAAAUUUCUGUUGCUUUCCUUUUUUAUUUUGUGGAUUAUUGAGUUUCCUUAAAUAUGCUAUUUUGAACUUUUGAUCAGACAGCUUGCCUUUCAUAUUCCCAUUACAAUAAUUCUCCGUCUCCUCGUUUGUCUGGGGAGGUUUGGGUUUUAUAGUUCUCUGUUUUAUAUUGUUAUUCUGCGUUUACUUCUAUGUCUUCACAUUUGAAGGAUUAGUUAUUUAUUCCAGUUUUCUCUGGCUUGUUUCGAUUUUUGGAUAUGUUUGUAUAUAGAUUUAUUUGCAAUAUACCUGUUGAAUGUAUUUUUCCAAGAUCACUGCCGCCUCUUCAGCACUAGAUGGCACCUUAACCCUGCGUUUACCUCAGCUCUAGCAAAGGUAAGAGCAUUGCCUAGCCUGAAUGGUAGAAGUCCCCCAGGGAAUAUUCCGGCAGUGUGGGAAAACUGGCUAGGAGUUUGUGCUUAUAGGACUUGUGAAACUUACUUUUUUUUUUUUUUUUUUUUUUUUUUUGAGAGGGAGUUUCGCUCUUGUCACCCAGGCUGUAAUGCGGGAGUGCAGUGGCGCCAUCUCGGCUCACUGCAACCUCCACCUCCUGGGUUCACGUAAUUCUCCUGCCUCAACCUCUCCAGUAGCUGGGAUUACAGGCACACGCCACCAAACCCGGCUAAUUUUUGUAUUUUUAGUAGAGACAGGGUUUCAUCUUGUUGGCCAGGCUGGUCUUGAAUUCCUGACCUCAAGUGAUCUGCCUGCCUCAGCCUCCCAAAGUGUUGGGAUUACAGACGUGAGCCACUGAGCCCGGCCUGAAACUCAUCUCCUAUAGCUUGGUGCUGCUAGACAGCCACUCUGUUUUAACUUCUUCUUUGGCCAAAACACAGAGGAAAGUUUUCCUGCCUGGAGAUACUAGUCCUACCUUCUCCCCUGUAUCUAGCUGUCUUCAAGAAGUUUUCUCCCUUCAGGCCCUCACAAUAAUUCCUGUGUGUUAAGGCAGGGAUAGAUUUUCUAUCAGGGAAUAAAAGAUGUAGAAGCUGGUGUCUACCUGGAUCUACGUUUUCUGAUGUAGUUAUCUGAUGAGUUGGGAGUGGGAGGACAUUCUCCAAGCUUGGUGCCUGGCAGACUGGGGAAAGAAUGUUGCAGAUAUGGAAGUCUGAUUCUCUUACCAUAUGCUCCUAGUUUUUUCAUUUCUCUGUGUUCCAGGGAACUCUUUUCCUCAUAUUUAAGUUCUGGAAUAUUGCUGGUGAUAAUUUUGGCAAUGUAUAUUUGGUUUUGAUUUUCUGUAGUUGGGGUGGUGGGUAGUAAAGCCAGCUAGCUUCUACUUUGCCAUUUUGGCUUAUUAUAGGUCUUUUUAGAUUUUCUGUUUAUGAUGAGUAAAUUUUGGUAGCUUGUAUUUCUAGAAAUAUGUGCAUUGCAUUGAAGUCAUUAAUAAAAGUUGUGUAACUCUCCCUUGUAGUCCUUGUUUAUAUAUUUUUGGUGCUGCUGG